Molecule: long non-coding RNA, 332 nt
Organism: Rhineura floridana
Lineage: Eukaryota; Metazoa; Chordata; Lepidosauria; Squamata; Rhineuridae
Exons: 3
Source: RefSeq, a predicted model, not a curated record
GUUGGUGGAUCUCAGGUUUACAGGAAAAACAAACAACAAACAAAGUAGAUCCCACAAGCUUGGAAUCUGCCCACCCCUGCUCUAAUCCACUUGCUCAGCGCAGAAAGUCCCCAACAGCCGCUGCUUGAAGACCUCAAGCAAAAGAGAGAGAGAGAGAGAGAAACCACCAUCUCUCUAGGUUUAGUAUGUAUGCAUUUGUCCAACACGCAAUGCCUGGCUUUAUGAACACCAUUUCAUCUAAAAGUGCUGACCAAGCACUCUUCCUCCAGCAGGAGCCCAGGGUGGCAAACAAAAACAUUAAAAACAGUUGAAAACAUCAUACAAACAAGACU